AUGUGGUCCGACCCAUGGGUGCCCGGCAUAGCCAACUUUAUUCCCACUCCCAGGAUAGCAAACUUGGUGUCAAAGGUCAGUGACCUUAUCGAUACGUACAACUGGACCUGGCGGCGGGACCUUAUUCAAGAAUCAUUCCAGCCACUUGAUGCGGCAGCAAUCUUGAACAUCCCACUCAGAACCGGCGGUGGCGAGGAUUUUUUAGCAUGGGCACAUGAAGUUUCAGGCAACUAUACCGUUAAAUCGGCGUAUCGAGCUCUAGUGACUCGCAACGAGCGUCAAGCUCAAGAGGAAGGGCAGGAUACCGGAACUCCAAUCGAUGAGCAACAGGUAUGGAGUAAGCUGUGGGAACUGAAGGUGCUGCCCAAGGUCAGGGUCUUU
This 381-nucleotide ribosomal RNA is filed under the name Triticum aestivum (bread wheat). RNAcentral's name for it is "partial small subunit ribosomal RNA". The record is from RNAcentral. Lineage: Eukaryota; Viridiplantae; Streptophyta; Magnoliopsida; Poales; Poaceae.